GACUAUGUGCAUAAUCAACAGGUGGUUGUUCACUUCCGAUCUCUUGAAAAGCCGAAGGAAGAUGAUUUUUGUCUAGAGAUGUCAAAGCUUUUUACGUAUGAUGUUGUUGUAGAAAGAGUAGCU
Pistacia vera is the source of this 123-nucleotide long non-coding RNA. RefSeq lists it as uncharacterized. The record is from RefSeq and is a predicted model, not a curated record. The transcript has 3 exons. Lineage: Eukaryota; Viridiplantae; Streptophyta; Magnoliopsida; Sapindales; Anacardiaceae.